GCGGCAGCAGCGGUGGCCGAGGCAGCGGGAUCCAGACCCGGGUCCAGCAUGUCCAUGGGGGGGGUGGGGGCGGGGGGGGCGCGGGGCCCGGGGGGGGAGGGGAGGGGGGAGGGAGGGAGGGGAGGGGGCGGGCGGCCGGGGGGGCCCCGAGCCCGGCGCUCACGCCGCGCGGCAGGAGGGGACGGAGGAGACACGGGAGCCGCUCGCGCUGAUCACGGGGACAAACAGUGGGGUCAUGUGAGGAGGAGAUGCCGCCGCCGCCGCCGCCGUCGCUCCUGCAGCCGCCGCCUCCUCCUGCCGCCGCCGCCUCCGCCCGCCCGCCGACUCCGGGCUGCCGGAGGCUCCGGGACUCAGCGCGGCCGCCCCCCGCCCGCUGCACGCGGCCCUCGGGCCUCCUUCCCUGAGCAGCCGCCGCCGCCGCCGCGACUUAUUUUAACAAGGCCCGCUCUGGAUGGCCGCCGCCUCUCCCCUAGAUCGCCGGUUCGCGCGCCCGCCUCCCGGCCUGGACCCGUUCGGCGGCGGAUCGCUGCUGCAGCCGCCGCCGCUUUCUAUUUUUUCCCCCUUUUUUUUCCUCCUUUACUUGAGCUGCGCGCGCGCGGCGGCGGCGGCGGCGGCGGCGGCGGCGCGAGCCCGGGACUGACGCGCGCGGGGGGAGGGCAGCCCCCGGGGAGCGCGCGCGCUGUCUGUCUCCGAUGGCGGCGGGCACGCGCGGGCCUGGGUCUCGGCGGGGCGUGAGGUCGCCGCCACCGCCUCCCGCGGCCUCCCGCCGCCCGCCGCUGGAUGGAACGUGGGCCCGGAUGGAACACCGGGGGACCCGGAGGUGGGGCUCUGGUCGCCUGGGGGCCAGGCAGGCUGCCGGGGUUUGAAGACAGCAAAGCCUCUUCUACUAGACGCCCAUCAUAUUGCGGGUCCCCAGACCUGGAGCCUUCAUCCCGAGACUCCCGGAGUCGGUAGUGGCGGGAUCUGGGGUCCACCUGAGGGCGGUCCCUAGACCUGAAGUCAUCAUAGUGAGGAUCUCGUGAAUGUGGAAAGUCCCUGGAGUCAUCUGGGUCGUAGAGGUCAUCACGGCUACGGCUUCGUGGGGGUGCGUAGGCCCGUCCUCUCCUCCCACUACUUGGGGGAGACCUCCUUCCAGAUUCAGCAGAACCCGGGCGGGUAAGAUCAUCCAGAGCAUCCACAGAGUGGGCCCGGGGUCGCCUGGCUCCCCAGCCACUCCCUGGCCGCUCUGUUGGGGGCUCCUGCUCCCAUCUCCUGGGACUCCGGGGGGACUGUCGACCCCACUCCUCAUCCCUGAUUGGAGUGAGGGCAGGACCCCGUGAAGGCCGGGAUCGCCAGUCAUCUUCAUGGAGGGAGGUGACUUCACUCAUAGCUGUAGGGAAGGGGGAUGUCACUGACGCUGGCAUGGACCAGGGCUAGCAGCUGUCACCCCUUGGCUCAAACACUCCUUAGGUGCAGUGGUAGGGAAGGAAGGACUAUGUUCAAGGUUUUUAACAAGCCUCCUUGGGGCAGGUAGAAAGGAGCCAUGCUUCCCCCUCCCCUCAGGGAGCCCUUGGACUCCAGGUCUCCUCACCACGUUCCACACGGCCAUUGGCAGGGCCAGGUCUGGAGGGGUCAAAGUUGGCUAGUUCUUUCUCCAUGUAGUACAGGACUCUCAUGGAGUCAUCCUGCUGGCUGGCCUGGAUCCUGUAGCCACUUCGGACUUCUAGGGACAGGAUGAAGGUGAUCAGUUUCAGAAGGUGGACACGAACCCACCCCUUACUUCUACAGGCAUGUCCAACCUGAGAAUGACAAGUUCUCACCAGAGGUCACACUGUUGUCUGUAUCCCGAAGCAGGGGCACCUGGGAGCUGUGGCCAACUGGGGGAGAUUGGCUGUCAGUGGCUGCCCACCCAGAGCGAGCCUUGCAUUCCCAGCACCUCCCACCCACUCUUCCUCCCAGCCCCAGCCCCCUGUGUGUCCAGUGCCCAGUCCAGCUCCACUCCAGCCUCACCUGAGCUCCUGUCGAAAUCUCCAGGGUACCCUCCGGGGUAUCCAUUGUAGACAGGGCCCAUGGGAAUCAUGGCUGGCGGUGGGGGUGGGGUCUUGGCCGGGGAGAGGUGGGCGUAGGUGCUUGGGGCGUAGAUACUUGGGACGCCUGAUGUGGCUGCUUUGCCAGCUGCAUACACUGGGAGGGCACAGUGGGCAUGAGAAGGUGGCCAAGAGCAGUGCUGCCCUAGUGUGAUGGGGUUCUGAAGAGCUGUGGGCUUGCCUCCCCCACCCCAUUACUGCAGUGCCCCUGAGGCAGGGAACCUCAGCUAAAGUUCUCACCUGUGUGACUCUCAUGGAGCUUUCAGAAUUGGGGGGGGGGGGGGGGGGUGGCUGCACACUGGCAGUCCACAGCCCCCAGUCUGGCAGGCCAAUAUAUUUGGUUUGACCUUAUGUUGGUUUGCCAACAGUCAAAAGGAUCUACGUGAAAUCCCAACUCUCCACUACCUCAUAUAAAGUCAUGGCUGGGCUGGGCUGUGCUUAGACGACAGUGAGCAAAGCCACCUCUUUAGAUAAAGCCCACGUAUGGGGCCUGCCACUAUCCCACAGGCUGAGACCAAGUUUGAGACUGAGUUUCCCCUUGGGUGGCAGAGCCUCUGGGGGAUCCCAUGUCCACUUUGCUGUCAUGCCUGCUGGAUCAUCUUCCAUACCCAGACACAAGGAAAGGAAGUUGAUCUGACACAGGCACACAGGGGCUCAGGAGUUAACUUGUCUGCCUCAGAGGAGCAGCAAAAUAGCUCUUCUAGGCUUUCCAACUCCCAGCCCCGCCCACUCCCACCCUGCCAGCCAGCCUGGCUCUAGGCUUGACAGCUCAAGGGCAAAUCCUUGCUUCCUUCCUCUCCACAGCAGGAGGCUGGGUCUCAGGGCUGCUCUGUGGCCUAGUCACUGGGCCCUGGGCAAGUCACUUCCUCCUUGGUAUUCCACGGGCUCAGGGAGACGCCCUACACUUCUGAUUUGGUUUGGUUCAGAAACGGAAGAGUAAGUGCUCAGCCCCACCUAGGAGAGACCCUUCCAUCAGCCCAGGUGACUGAUUUGCUGUGUUGUAAUUAGCAGUCGGAGCUGCUUGCUGAUGGAUCUGCAGGGGGCUGUGGCUGGGGCUAGAGCAGUAACAUGGGGAGGGUCUGCGACAGUCCUGGGGUAGGCGGAGGAGGUGCCGCACCGUUGACCACCGCAUGGGUCUCAGUGGGUUAACUGAAAACUUGGUGGCAGUCCUUUAAAUUUCUCUUCUGAAUCUAUAAAAUGGAUUAACACUCGCCAGCUGAGCCAAAGCUCCCAACUAAAAGUGGUGAGAGUGAUACUUUGAGGAGCCAGGUUGCCCACCAUAGUACUAGCUGGCAUGGACGGAGCUGCAGCAUCCUGGGCACUCUCCCAGUCUUCCCUUCAAGCUCACAGAGGAGGGAAUGCUGCUGGCCAGAGGUCACAGUGUCUGGCAAGGCCCCGAGCUACAUACACCCUGGCCUGAAGGCAUUGCUAGUAGAGGCUAAACCAGUGUCCUACAGCUAGCAGGGAACAGCACCCAGGCCCAGCCCCACAGGCCAUGCACCUGAGUUCGCCAAAUCCCAGACUCACCCAGCCUAGUGAGCUCUGCCAUGAGCCCCAUUUUACAGAGAAGACGGAGACUAGGGCCAGGUCUCGCCAGGCUUCUCAGCCCAUCAGGUGUCUAGCCAGCCUCAAACUCCACCUACCCAAGGCCUGUUUUCCUGCCAGUGCCUUUGCAUUGUGUGCAGUACUGGCCUAGCUGUUCGCCCUCCUGAAGGACUAAGCAACUGGUGACAGCUUUGUCCCUGAGGAGGGGAGUGAGGCAGUGGUGGGAGGGAGACUAGCUUUCUUCUCCUCUCUCUUUGCUUUGUGUCCUUUGUCCCCUUCAUCUCCCAUCCUACUUCUGUUUCCGACCUUCCACAGGUACCCCCUCGGACACACUAGAUGCGCCCUUAAACACAGGCUCCACGUCACAUACCCAGUGUGCAUGUCGACGUGUGCUUUUCAAAAGUUGCUGGAAUUACACAGGGCUGUAGAUCUUGUUUUCUUAACUUUUACAUUUGAGAUUUUUGUUUUUAAAGGGAUCCUCACUUCCCUGUGAAUAAUAUCUUAUAUUGUUAGACUUUAUUUUUAAACCACGUUCGUAAGUCACACUAAAAAAACAAAAACCCUCAAUAAACAAAAAUUAAAAGUUGAAGUAAGUAAAUGAUCAUCUAAGACAGCAGCUCCUCCCUGAAUGACCGUCUCCCUACUGCUAACCGUCCAGCCUGCAGCUGGGGUGCCGUCCCAGGGUGGGCAGGUGCACCUGCCCAGCAGGGAGGCUGCGUGAGGGCGGCGAGAGGAGCACUUACGGGCCUCCGGGCAGCAGCACUUCUCCGGGCAGCAGGGGCACCUGACGUAACAGCAGCAGGUAUGUGGGCAGCACUGACACCAGCAAAUGCCCAGGAGGAGAAAGACAAGGAAGACAGCCAGGCACACCACGACCACAAAGAGCCAGUCUGCAGAGAGACCAGAACAGGCCCUGAGCCGGGAGGCCAGAAAACAGCAGACAGGAACAGAAGGGCUCUGCAGGGACAGCGCAGAGCCAAACAUGGGCGGGAGACCUGCAGCCCUCCUUAGUCUCUGCCAGAGUGUGGGGCACAGUAGCAGAGGGAUACCUGACCCUCUACAAUUGGGUCCAGUCCCCAAAUUAGGGAUCCCCCUGGCUUCAAGUGGAGAAGGCAGAAAACAAGAGGUAACGUGGCCUAAGGAAGAUGGAGAGCGAGCCACGGCCCAGACCCAAACCCCUGAAGAACACAGCUGGCGCCAGUCACAGGAGCCCCUGCCUACACCCCAGGUCCCUCCUCAGCCAGCCCAGCCCACCUCCAAGCCCAGAGCUAGGCCACUAGAUGCCACAAGGUGAGAUGGAGUUAGUGGGGUUCACAGCGAACAGUGAUUAAGGGUUGCGGAGAAUGCCAGAGAGAAGCCCCACUGAGGACUCCACCCCCAUACCUUCCAUGGGCCCCGCCUGAAAAUCAGGUAAGAGUUCAGUCACCCCAGAGGUCCUGCCUGGAGGGACAAAAGAGAACAGGAGAUUAUGCCAGCCAGAGCCAGCCCAGGCAGCCCUGUCCCUAAAAAUGCCCAGCUCCAGGCUGCUAGUAGGUGUGCCCUGCAGCAGAGCAGGCAGGGGAGAGGCUGGUGGCCUAGCAGGGACCUGGCAUGUGGUGCCUGCCCCCACCCCUGCUUACAGGUGGGUGCUGGUGGGUGUGAAGGCUGCCAUCACAUACCCACCUGCUCUCAGCCCCAGCGGGUUCCAACACACACCCCAUGGGGGCUGGAAGGGUUGACCUCAGCCCAGUCACUCUCCCGCCUCCAUGGGUCCUACCAGCAACAAUCUGUUGAAUCAAGCAGAGUAUGCCCAGCACACUAGGACCCAGCAAAAUUUUUAAUUUUUUUUUAAAUCUGAAGAAAAAAACUAGUAAUACUAAGUAUAUAAAAAUGGAGUCUUCUUUUUUUUUUUUUUUUUUAAUGGAGGAAGGGGCCUUCAAAGGCAAAAAUACCUAUGGCCCAUGAAAGUCAUAUUGAUCCUGAUUGUGACCCACCAGGGUUCCAUCCUCCGUCUAUGCAUUCUGUCACAUGUGCAUGUGUCCUAACCCAGUCUGUACCUUCCCUCAGGUGCCCCGGGAGCUCUGUGCCCUACGAGCAGUGCAUCAUGGGAGCCUAUGCAUGUGCACAGCAGCUCUCACAGAGAGCACGCUGGGCACCUGGGCUCUGACGAGGGGGCAGAGCAUACCACAAAGACCAGCCCCACUCACCAAGGACAAUGAGCUCUGCAUAGGCCUCGUUGUUCCCCUGGAGAUCCUGGGCCGACACCACGGAGCAAUAGUACACACCACUGUCCCCCCAAGCCGUCUGCUCGAAUGUCAGAAGUCGGGGCCCAACUGAGAGGUGACCCAAUCCACCUGAAGCGACACCGCUCGUUGCCGGCAGAGCCGCGUCGGGUUGACUGUGGGGCCAGUGCUUGCAACUCAGAACCAUCCUCCCCACCUCUCCAGCACAAGCAGUAACUGUGAGUGUCCUCACCCACAGCAUCCAGCACACAGGGGCACAAUACUCUCCAGUGCUGAAGGAAUAAAAGAACUGGAGCCCCUUCCUCAAAGACUCAGGGCUGGUUCCUUCCCGUUAAUCAAGCCUCAGCAUGGAGGAGUGCUCCCUGGCCAUCCCACCCCCUGUGGCUCUCCUGCCCAACGGGCGAAGUUCAUCACCCAGGUGCCCACUGCCCACCUCUGCCCCUGUGAGAACUUGCCCUGCAUGCAGAAACAAGUCUGUCUUGGUUGCUGCUGGCCAGACACAGGGACUGGCCAAGGAGCAGAAAAGUACCCCUCCUCUCCUCAUGCUGACCUUCCUUAGCUUCUGUUGUCUGUUCCAGUAUUCUGGGCACAUGGCUACACUCAAAUAGACACUUGAUUCGUUCAUUCAACAUUUAACAAAUAACCGCUGGAUACAGCUUAUAUUCCAGGCUCUUUUGAGGCACCUGGCAUACUACAAAACAGUGGUUCUCAAAAUGAUCUGUGUACUGUGAUUCCUGGUUCCUCAAGACCCUUUCUGGGGAUCCUUGAAGUUAAAGUUAUUUUCAUAAUUACUUGCCUUUUCCCCUUUAUCUCUUAUAAGUGGGCAUUUUCAGAGGGCAGGUGACAUUUGAGCAAUAUCACAAUAGACUGACACAGUGUUGAGGACCCAGCUUCUUCUAUCCAGUAAGACUUUCAAGAGACUUUGCAAACAGAAAACAAUGCCACUCUUCUCAUUAAAAAAUAUUUUGUUUUGGAAAAUGUAGUUACUUUUUCAUAAAGAUAUGUUAUUUUAAUAAUGAGUUCAUUGUUGUACUUUGAAAUGUUUUUAAAGUUCCUCUUAGUUUGUUUGCUAUUAAAAAAAAAAAAAAAAAAAAAA
This is a long non-coding RNA of Sciurus carolinensis (gray squirrel), 6929 nucleotides long. RefSeq lists it as uncharacterized. NCBI's taxonomy places the organism in Eukaryota, Metazoa, Chordata, Mammalia, Rodentia, Sciuridae. The transcript is spliced from 6 exons. The record is from RefSeq and is a predicted model, not a curated record.